AUGAUAUACACAAAAAUCGAUCAAUGGUGAAUCACGACGAUAUAAAGAUAGAAA
This 54-nucleotide non-coding RNA is filed under the name Trypanosoma lewisi. Lineage: Eukaryota; Euglenozoa; Kinetoplastea; Trypanosomatida; Trypanosomatidae. The record is from RNAcentral.